Molecule: ribosomal RNA, 485 nt
Filed under: uncultured bacterium
Lineage: Bacteria
Description: bacterial SSU rRNA
Rfam family: Bacterial small subunit ribosomal RNA
Source: RNAcentral
ACUCCUACGGGAGGCAGCAGUGGGGAAUAUUGCACAAUGGGCGCAAGCCUGAUGCAGCCAUGCCGCGUGUGUGAAGAAGGCCUUCGGGUUGUAAAGCACUUUCAGUCGUGAGGAAGGUAGUCGGUUAAGUUUAAAUGACGGCCUGCUAUUAUUUGACGUUAGCGACAGAAGAAGCACCGGCUAACUCCGUGCCAGCAGCCGCGGUAAUACGGAGGGUGCGAGCGUUAAUCGGAAUUACUGGGCGUAAAGCGCAUGCAGGUGGUUUGUUAAGUCAGAUGUGAAAGCCCGGGGCUCAACCUCGGAAUUGCAUUUGAAACUGGCAGACUAGAGUACUGUAGAGGGGGGUAGAAUUUCAGGUGUAGCGGUGAAAUGCGUAGAGAUCUGAAGGAAUACCGGUGGCGAAGGCGGCCCCCUGGACAGAUACUGACACUCAGAUGCGAAAGCGUGGGGAGCAAACAGGAUUAGAUACCCUGGUAGCUACGAGU